RNAcentral lists this long non-coding RNA (701 nucleotides) under Rattus norvegicus (Norway rat). Its description in RNAcentral is "long non-coding RNA NONRATT022832". The record is from RNAcentral. Lineage: Eukaryota; Metazoa; Chordata; Mammalia; Rodentia; Muridae.
GUCGCACCUCGGAGCCCCUAGUAGAGGGGCUGUGUGCUGUGAAUUGUGUACCUGGGUCACCUUGCGUGGCUGUAGCCAGUACACGCCUAGGUCAAGCGUGGGUUAUCUGUGCCUUCACUGGUUGCUUCUCAUUGGAAAUGACUGUCAUGCUCACCUUGGGCAGGCUCUGGAGAUCAUCCGGGGCUGUCAAGGCCUGAAUGUGGUGGGCUGUGACCUUGUGGAAGUUUCCCCGCCGUAUGAUCUCUCUGGUGAGUGAAGAGCAAGAGCGAUCCACAGGUGGCUGUUGGUUUAGAUUCAUCCAGUUAGGAGGCAGGCCUCCAUGUUUACCUCGGGGACCCUGUGGAGAAUGUCCAACGGUGAAGCCUGUUACCACGACCCAGACAAGCAUGAGCUAAUGCAAGGAACAAAGCCCCUGGGAGGUGCCAGGGGCUGCUGUUCAGUGGCAGGGUGGCUCAGUGGCAUCCCUUUGGUGUCUUCAUUGAGACAUGAAUUUGCAAAGCAUGCUUUACUGUGAAGGAGGGGGCUGCUUCGGCUGACACCUGGGCAAAGCAGAUGUCACCCCUGUCAUUCUAACUGUGGAAGAAAGAAAGGAGCUUCUGAUUAGGCCUACCGGCCUGAGGGUGGGCCCCAAGCAGUCACUGGUAUCAAAGGUCCCUCAGAAUUCUCAUUCGGUCUCCAGAAGAUGCUUGGUAGGGACUGAG